UUGAUGCACGCCCACUGACCCCCUCAACCAAUCGCCUUCCCUGGCGCGAAGUCGACUGUGAAUUCAAAGUAAACCUAGGGAUUGUGGGAAGGUAGCUGAACGCGGCACCAGGAAAGAUGGAGGCGGCAGAAACUGAGGUGGAAGCUGCAGUCCUAGAGGUCCUGACUGAGGUGGCAGGCAUCCUGGAAACUGCAGGCCUCCAGGAAGAGGCAGAACUGUCAACCAAGAUCCUGGUUGAGUUUGUGGUGGACUCCCAGAAGAAAGACAAGCUGCUCUGCAGCCAGCUUCAGGUGGUGGACUUCCUGCAGAACUUUCUGGCUCAGGAGGACACUGCCCAGGAUCCCUUGGCUUCUGAAGACACGAGCCGACAGAAGGCAAUUGCAGCCAAAGAACAAUGGAAAGAGCUGAAGGCCACCUAUAGAGAGCACGUGGAGGCCAUCAAAAUUGCACUCAGCAAGGCCCUAACUCAGAUGGAGGAAGCCCAGAAGAAACAGACACAACUCCAAGAAGCAUUUGAGCAGCUCCAGGCCAAGAAACAAAUGGCCAUGGAGAAACGCAGAGCAGCCCAGAAGCAGUGGCAGCUACAACAGGAGAAGCAUCUGCAGCAUCUGGCAGAGGUUUCUGCACAGGUGAGGGAGCGUAAGAUAGGAACUCAGAAGGAGCUUGAGGGGGUGUUUCAGAAACUUGGAAACCUGAAGCAGCAAGCAGGACAGGAGCAGGACAAGCUACAGAGGCAUCAGACCUUCCUCCAGCUUCUGUGUACCCUGCAGGGUAAGCUGCUGUUUCCUGAAGCUGCCACUGAAGCAGAGAAUAUUCCAAAUGAUAAACCCCAGCAGCUGACUGGACCCGAGGAGCAGAGUAUAGGAGACACCAUGGGGAGAGACCCUGGUGUAUCCUCCAAGUCUGAUGGUCUACAGCCUGCUGGAGAUUCAAAUUUGCCAUGGCUCCCUGGAGGACAACAGCAUGGAGAAAGAUCCUAGAACAGUGGCUUGGACUGAAUUCAUCAGGAUACAUUCAGUACUGGAAACGCAUAAGGAUGGAUGGAGCUUUCACAGUGAUCUCCAAAUGAGUCCAGAGUGUUAAAAUCUGGGGAACAGAACUAUGUCAAAAGAAGAGCCUUUUGUACUAGAGGGAUCAUGGAACUACUGUCCAGUGCUACCUCAAGUUUCUGCUCCCCAUAUUCUGGUGCAGCACUGCUUUGCUACCCCAGGUGUGACUCAAGUGGACCCAGGUACCUUGAUCUUGAAAUUCCCAGCCACCAGAUAUGUGAGGAAUAAGUGUCUAUUAUUUAUACAUUAUUAUUAUGUUUACUGUUAUAAAUGUCUAUUAUAUAGUAUAUUUAUAGUUAAUUAUUUACUUUAUAAAUUACCCAGCCUAGGAUAUUUUAUCACAGCAACACAAAUGGCCACCCAACGACAAUGCUUUUUCUCAGUUUACUAUAGGUGUAUCUUAGAAAUUUAUUGUUACAACAUGUCAUGGGUUAAUACCUGGGGACUUAUCAUUGUCCAGGCAAUGAUAAUUCUGUUAGCAUGUUGUUGAAAGAUGCCAUAUCCCCCACCUAAAAAUCUGCUUUUUAGGACCAUGUGUGAUGCCAGCUGUCUUAGUAUAGGUCCCAACAAAAGAGACCCUGAUACAUAAAUUUGAGUUCAAGUAGUUUAUUUUGGGGGCAAUCUCAAAUAACACUAAGAAAAUGGGUAUUUUGGACAGGGUAUAAAUACCCUGAGCAAAAAUGGGUAUAAAUACAUGUGAGCAUGCCUCCUCCAUGGGGUAACUGAUUCUAAAACCUUUCUGAAACUCAGUGGAAACAGUGUAUAACAGAAUUAUUCUAUCUGAAGCAUAAGGAAUCUGGGUCAUCUUUGGUUGCUUUCAAGGGCAUCAUCAUUUUAGCAACUUGAAACUGCUUUGCAUAUGUGCCAAGAAAACUUCCUUGGGCUGAAAGAGCCAUCACUCAUCAUAGAACUACAGGUCCUUGUGUUGAGAAAUAAUUGAUAUGUAUAGAAAAGGUAUGAGUACGUAUGGUCAUAUGGUUAAUUUUAGUACUAUCACACCACUCUACACAAAUUAAUAAAAACUCACUGGGAUGAAAAGUCAUUUAUUUUAAAUAAAACUAAGAAGAGGGUUUACUUUAUUUUACAUCCUUUAUGCAUUCCAGUGCAUUAACCAGCACGAUACUUUUGAGGUAGAUUGAGAUUUCUAACAUCACUAAAGGAAACAAUAAUGCUAAGUUCACCAAGCACAAGUAGCUGAGUAUAGAUUUUCACCAAAAUUUAUUUGAAACCAAUGGCGAGAGUACCUCAGAUGGGACCCAGGCUAUUGCUAAGGCUAUUGUUCAUUAUGUGAUAUUAAAUUAUGCAAUUAUCAGUCUCUUUUGUGAAAACUCUAAACUUCACAAAUAACUAGGUAAAAAUAAUUGUUUUAUGUUCAAUUUUGUAGAUGGAAAAUCUUCAGUCAUUUAAUCUUAGCUGGUGACUGGCAAUACAAGGAAAUGGAUCCCGGUAAAAAAAAAAAAAAAAAAAAAGAUUUAGUCUUUACAACUCAGUGUUUAGUCCACCUUUUCUCUAAAGUUAAAGAUCUUUCUAAUGGGAAAAACCCACAAGAAAUAUCAAAGGCAAGUGAACAUGAAAGGAUAUGUGUAUUUGGUAUCAACUUUCUGAGUGAUAACCAAAAUGCUCUUAUUUGAACAAUUUUCCUGCAUGUGUUUUCUAAUUUGAAAUAUCUAGGAAUUUUCUCCUCGUAAAAUAAUAACAUUAUCAUCAUCACCAUCAUCUCAGAAAGAUGCUUAAUUAAAUGAUGAAAAGUGGUGAAGAGAGUGGUUGGGCCAUAUGUAAUUGAGUCUGUAGCUUAAGAACCAGCCUUUCAUAUUACUUGAAUUUCAUAUAUAUUUGUUUCACAUGCUAAACUUAAGAAAUACAUUUACAGUGUUUAUAGUUUAGGCCAGUGAUUCAUAUCACCAAGUUAGUUUUGUUUUACUUUACUUAAAUACAUUAAAGAUACCAGCAAUUAAUUCAUUUGUUCUUAGAGGAAAGUGAGUACUUAAUGAGUUUUAUGUUUUGUCCUUAAACCACUUGGAAUACAAUGAUGAAACCAAAUCCAUUGACUCAUGAGACUGAGCAGUCAGAAAAUAGGGAAUAUAAUGUCAUAUAAUCCUAUGAAGGAAACAUAUGAAGAUAAAGCUAAAAGAAGAAAAUGACAGAAAUUUUAUGUUAUAUAGGUAAUUAGCACUGAUUAGGGGACAUCUGAGCAUAGGCAAAAACAGAUAUGGCAGGCAGAAAGCCAAGGGAAUAGAGUCUUGGAAAGAGGAAAUGUUAAUGCAAUACCUUGAGACAGAAGAGUGCUUCAUGUAUUUGUGGGAUAGUUAGAAGAGCAUAAUGGUUACAGCAGAAAGUGUAAGGAAGAGGGAAAGAAGAAAUGAAGUCUGAAAGGGAAUUCAGGUCCAGAUUGUAUGGGAGCUUUAGUCUGUUGUGAGAAAUUUGGAUUUUAUUUUGAAUGAGUUAGGAAGCUAGGAAGGAUUUUAAACAAGGGACUGGCAUGGUCUGACUCAUUCUGAAAGAGCACAUGGCUGCUAUGUGGAGAAUAAAAUGUAGAGGGUAAGAGAUGGUAGUGGCAUUGAUUAGGGGAGUAACACUAGAGGUGGUGAUAAAUGGUCAGAUGAUGCAUAUAUUUUGAGACAAGAGCUGGCAUAAUGUGUUUCUCAUAGGUUUCUGUCUUAUACUUAGCCUUAAUAAUGUUUUGUGGUCAGCCAACAGUAUGAUGUGUGUAGUUCACUGUGGCCAGUUUGUCUGAAUCUGGAGAGAUGAAACACCCACACAAAACAAGUUACAUGAAGUGAGCUUAUUACUUAUAGGUAGGCAUCAGUAGAAAAUAGCUUAGGAUUUAUUGCAAGCUGGUCUUCCAAGGCUCAGAAAAGCUACUCUGGGGAGGAAGGAGUGUUGUGUAUAUAUACUUUACUUGCACCACAGCUGAAGGACUCCUGAGGUUUGUGCCCCAGGGUACCAUGAUACAUUAGGCUAAAGUGUUGAAGGAUAUCUUUUUUCUAAUAGGGAUUGAAACAGAGUGCAGGCUGUUCCAGCCAGUUCCUCCCUAUCUCAAGAUUUUGCAUUCUUUCCACAUUCUGCAGUUAUGCUUGGGAAAUACAAGUGAGAAAGAGAGGGGAACUGGGUUGAUCAAAGUCUACCCAGAGAAUUAUCCCAUACUAUGGCCCACUCUAUUUGACAGAAUUUAUCUAGAUUGUGUUUUGACAUUUUCCCAAUACUUCACAUGGUACCAGGUGGCAUAUUGAAAGUAAUAAAUAUGAUAGAAUAAUAGAGAUGACAGGAAGAAACAGAAUAGGAUCUUUUAAAUUAAAUCCCUUGUGACUGGAGAAGGUGUAUCCAGUUGCUCUAGCCUAGAAAGUCUCUGACUGUGGCUGUCAAGCUUGUCUUUCGUCCUUCUCUAGUGGUACUGGUUGCUGGCAGUGGAUCUGUAUGGGUCAAGUGUAUCUUUCCUUAACCUUGAUGUUCAAGGGUUACUAAGAAAGGCUAGUGAGAAAUGCAAACAAACAGCUAUUUAGAAAGGGCUCUGUUGGGAAGAGGACCUGCUGAACUUCCAGAUGGAGGUCAUCUCUCCACAUCUGCACUCAUCACUGUGGAGGCAGCUGCUCUCACUGACAUAUCAGACUCCUAAAGGGAUGUUUGUCCUUGAUAGUGAAUGUUCCAGUUCUCAGGUUCAGAAGGUCCUGAAGUUUAAGUGCUGGAAAGUAUGUUAGAGGCAUUUUAUCUGAUGGAUAAGAAAACUAAGGCAUAAAUGUCAAAUAUAAUAACCUUCUAUCACCACACAGUAGAAUAGAGACAGAGGUGACACCAGUUUAUAGCUUCAGUGGCAUAGGUGGCCAAUUCUUUCAGGAGUCAUUCUGAAUUUUUACAUAUUUAAUUAAGCAAGAGUUGCAAAUUGAAAGUCUUUGGGACUGAAUAACACCUUUGACACAGAACCUGUCAUUAUUCUUGAAGGAUUGUAAUUCCUAACAUUGAUAAGAACAGCUUCUUCCCUCUAUUUUUGUCAGGUGUCUGAAAAUGUAGUCCCACUGUUGUUGCUGUCUUGUUUUAUUUGGAGACAGUGUCUUGCUCUGGCUCAGGCUGGAGUGCAGUGGUGUGAUUCCAGCUCACUGCAGCCUUCGCCUCCUGGGCUUAAGCGAUGCUCCCACCUCAACUUUGUGAGUAGCUGGGUCUAUAGGUGUGUGCCACCACACCCAGCUAAUUUUUCUACUUUUUGUAGAUGCUUCCUCCAUGCUGCCCGGCUGGUCUGGAAUUCCUGAGCUCAAGUGAUUGGCCCACCUAGGCCUCCCAAAGUUGUGGUAUUACAGGUGUAAGCCACAGCACCCAGCCUUAUUUUUUAUUUUCAUUUUUUGUAAAAAUUUUCUUGCAGAAAAUUUUAGCAGAAUUAUAAGAAUAGCUCAAAAGAAAUCACAAUAUUAAAAAAACUUUCACAAUCCUAAAGAAAUGUACAAAAAUUCCCCAGAAAAUUAUUAUUAAACAUUUACAUGUCAUUCAAUUUUUUAUGGAGAAUAAGAAUGUGAAAUGUGUACACAUUGGAAAUCAUUGGGUAAGAAAUUUUUGCUAGCUAAUUUCUUGUCUCAACUGUGAGAAGUAAAACACAUAUCAGUAUAAUUUUUCCAAACUCUGUAAGAAUACUUUAUCAUACAGACCAGAACAUCUACCUACCAAUAAAACUUUUUAACAGGCUACUUUUUUCCAAUAUACUGUUAAGACAAAUAUUAUCUUAAGCAUUUUUUUUGGUUUUGUUUUUUUGUUUUAAAUUUAUGGUCACUCUGAAUUUUCAGGGUCAUUGUAUACUUUCAUGAGGUAACAUGAGGUAACAUGUUAUAUGAAGCUCAAAUGGGACUUUCAACCAUAAGUUUUAAAAUUUGUUUCUUUAACUCAUAUUUGCAAACUACCAAUAAUGCUGUUUUGUCUUGCUUUUGUGCAUUUGUAAAUGUUUUAUAUUUGAAAUUAUGCUGAUAGAUCAAUUAAUUUCAAAAAUUACAUAUUCAAAUAAGAUCAAUAACAACUUUUUUUUUUUUGCCACCUACAGAUUUAUUAAACUUUAUUUCCUCUGAGUCUCUGGACAGUCAGCAGCGAUGUAAGGCGAAGUGGCAAUAGCUGAAGGGGCCUGAGCAGAGCUGGUGCUGGGAGGGGCCGACAUGGACAGGAAGAGGAAGAGAUUUAAAUAUCCAGGGCUGAAAGCCAGUUAAUGGGUCUCCUUCAUCUGUUUUUGUAUUUUGUGUAGCAUCUCCUGCAUCCGCCACAGCUGGAAUAGGCAUAGGCAUCAAAAUGGGCCUUUUCAGAGAGUCCUUUAGUACUGGGGAAGUGCCCCAAAUUUCUAAUCCCUUAAGCCAGGACCUUGUAGCCCUGAGGUAUGAUGGAGACCCUGGACAGAACCACCUAUUGACCUAUCCAGGACCCAAAUAGGCAGCAGAGCCAGGGAUCUUUCUAUUACCAAACCAAGAGAUACCAAUGUUGAUGAUAGAACAGAGGACCUCCUCUAUACCCCAUACUGCUCUCACUUCCUCACCUUUCUCUCGGAUAAGCUUCUCAGUUUCUGGAUCUGUCCCUAGUGGGACAGCAGGGAUGGGGAAGUCAGUACCACUCUCUCGAGUCAGUUUGCUAAGAGGAGAGAAGGGUUGGUAAGGUUAGGAGGACCCCAGUACCCACUUAGAUUGGGCCUAUAGAAGAGCAAAAGAAAGGUUUGGUCUCACCCAAGGCUAGGCUUGGGAUCCCCCCUGCCACCUUUGUCCUGGCUUCUGGUCAUACUUGCAAUUCCAUUCCUUCACCACCAGGCGGGUAAUGCUCUGGAUGCACUGUGCCCGGUAGUUCUCAUAAUGUGUCUCCCGGGUCACAUCCUUCAGGUCCUGCAUGUGGGUAUGCACCAGCAUCGUCCUCAGCUUCACAAAGUUACAGUGCCCUGGGUUUUCCACUGCAUAGCAAGGCUAGGGGUCAGCCAGAGGCAUAGGUAGGGGAGAGCCACUGAGGGGCAAGGAGAUACCUGGUCAGAAGCUCAGUGCUUUAUCUUCCAUGAUGCCCCAGGGGUAGAGUUGACCCAGAACUCGCCGCCCUCUGGCCUCUACUACAGUGUUGCUGCCAAUGACUGCAAAUGGGAUGCUUUCCUGGAAGAGGUUAGGGGUGCCUGUCAACACUCUCUGUUCUCACCUGUUUCUUUCCACCUAUAUCGUCAUCUUCUCUGCCUCACUCUAGGAAGCUAGGGUCCUUUCCCACCCUGAUAGCCCAAAUAUAGAAAUCUACUCCCGUUUUCCACCCAGAAGAAACAAGAUGGGAAGGGGAUGCCCUAGAGUGGCCCCACCUUUAGGGCUUGAUCCUGUGAUUUGAAAUCCUCAUCCUCAUCAGAGUCAUAGUCUGGGAAUUGAUAGAUCUUGAUUCCAAAGCGGUCAAUCUCCUCCCGGAUCUGGCAAACAGAUGAAGGGCCCACAGUUCUGGGGACCACAUCCUUUCUAGAAACCCACCUGAUCCCCUCCCAUCACCAGCUUU
Callithrix jacchus (white-tufted-ear marmoset) is the source of this 7517-nucleotide RNA transcript. It is a transcript of the gene named ZW10 interacting kinetochore protein, with no coding region annotated. The record is from RefSeq and is a predicted model, not a curated record. Lineage: Eukaryota; Metazoa; Chordata; Mammalia; Primates; Cebidae.